CCUACGGGAGGCAGCAGUGGGGGAUAUUGCACAAUGGGGGGAACCCUGAUGCAGCGACGCCGCGUGGGUGAAGAAGCGCCUCGGCGCGUAAAGCCCUGUCAGCAGGGAAGAAAAUGACGGUACCUGAAGAAGAAGCCCCGGCUAACUACGUGCCAGCAGCCGCGGUAAUACGUAGGGGGCAAGCGUUAUCCGGAUUUACUGGGUGUAAAGGGGGCGCAGGCGGCGAUGCAAGCAAGGAGUGAAAGCCCGGGGCUUAACCCAGGGACUGCUCUGGAAACUGCGUGGCUGGAGUGCAGGAGGGGCAGGCGGAAUUCCUGGUGUAGCGGUGAAAUGCGUAGAUAUCAGGAGGAACACCGGUGGCGAAGGCGGCCUGCUGGACUGCAACUGACGUUGAGGCCCGAAAGCGUGGGGAGCAAACAGGAUUAGAUACCCGAGUAGUC
RNAcentral lists this ribosomal RNA (440 nucleotides) under uncultured bacterium. RNAcentral describes it as "partial 16S ribosomal RNA". It matches the Rfam family "Bacterial small subunit ribosomal RNA", at positions 338 to 795 of the family's 1533-position model. The record is from RNAcentral.